RNAcentral lists this ribosomal RNA (194 nucleotides) under uncultured bacterium. RNAcentral's name for it is "partial 16S ribosomal RNA". It matches the Rfam family "Bacterial small subunit ribosomal RNA", at positions 338 to 524 of the family's 1533-position model. The record is from RNAcentral.
CCUACGGGAGGCAGCAGUGGGGAAUCUUGGACAAUGGGGGCAACCCUGAUCCAGCGAUGCCGCGUGAGUGAAGAAGGCCCUCGGGUCGUAAAGCUCUUUAGGUUGGGAAGAAGUGCACGGGCUGAAUAAUCCCGUGUGUUGACGGUACCGACAGAAUAAGCACCGGCAAACUCUGUGCCAGCAGCCGCGGUAAU